RNAcentral lists this ribosomal RNA (349 nucleotides) under uncultured eukaryote. RNAcentral describes it as "LSU rRNA". It matches the Rfam family "Bacterial large subunit ribosomal RNA", at positions 2129 to 2478 of the family's 2925-position model. The record is from RNAcentral.
UCUUCUUGCGCAGCUUAGGUGGAAGGCUGAGAAAGGCAAUUCCGGUUGUCUGGAGCCAUCAGUGAGAUACCACUCUGGGAGAGCUAGGAGUCUAAUGGCGUUCCUUGAAUCAGGACGCUUGACAGUUUCAGGUGGGCAGUUUUACUGGGGCGGUAGCCUCCUAAAAGGUAACGGAGGCGUGCAAAGGUUCCCUCAGGCUGGACGGAAAUCAGCCAUAGAGUGUAAAGGCAGAAGGGAGCUUGACUGCAAGACCUACAAGUCGAGCAGGGACGAAAGUCGGCCUUAGUGAUCCGACGGUGCCGUGUGGAAGGGCCGUCGCUCAACGGAUAAAAGUUACUCUAGGGAUAAC